RNAcentral lists this transfer RNA (73 nucleotides) under Candidatus Kryptonium thompsonii. Its description in RNAcentral is "Candidatus Kryptonium thompsoni tRNA". It matches the Rfam family "tRNA". Rfam says of the family: Transfer RNA (tRNA) molecules are approximately 80 nucleotides in length. The record is from Rfam by way of RNAcentral. RNAcentral also lists the same sequence under 3 other names. Lineage: Bacteria; Pseudomonadati; Candidatus Kryptoniota.
GGCGGGUUAGCUCAGGUGGUAGAGCAGCGGAAUCAUAAUCCGCGUGUCGGGGGUUCGAGUCCCUCACCCGCUA